CAGUCGCCGCGGUAACACGGAAGGUCCGGGCGUUAUCCGGAUUUAUUGGGUUUAAAGGGAGCGUAGGCCGUGGAUUAAGCGUGUUGUGAAAUGUAGGUGCUCAACGUCUGCACUGCAGCGCGAACUGGUCCACUAGAGUGUGCGCAACGCAGGCGGAAUUCGUCGUGUAGCGGUGAAAUGCUUAGAUAUGACGAAGAACUCCGAUUGCGAAGGCAGCUUGCGGGAGCACAACUGACGCUGAAGCUCGAAAGUGCGGGUAUCGAACAGGAUUAGAUACCCCCGUAGUCCCUGUCUCUUAUAC
RNAcentral lists this ribosomal RNA (301 nucleotides) under uncultured bacterium. RNAcentral describes it as "partial 16S ribosomal RNA". It matches the Rfam family "Bacterial small subunit ribosomal RNA", at positions 509 to 807 of the family's 1533-position model. The record is from RNAcentral.